AAGUCGUAACAAGGUUUCCGUAGGUGAACCUGCGGAAGGAUCAUUAACACGUAUCCAACGUAUCAACCCUUCGUGCUCUUUGUCUAAGGACUUUGGACUUUUUCUUCGGUCACACUUUCGAUUGAUUUCAUUUCAUGAAUAGGUUAAAGACGCUGGUACUACCUCGGUAGUAGCUAGGGUGCUGCUCAUGAGAAGAGUCAAUCAAGUGGGCGACUGUUUUAUAAAGUCUGGGUUCUUAAUUGAAAACUUUAUUAUCACAUUUAAACCCCUUGUACUUAUUUUCUACUGAAUUAAAUAGUUAACCUUUGCUAGGCUAGAACUUAACAAUUACGUGGUUCGACCCUUGGCUUAGGACUUGACUUAUUUAUCUUAAACCAUUGACAACUCUUAACAACGGAUAUCUUGGUUCUC
This 411-nucleotide unclassified non-coding RNA is filed under the name fungal sp. Its description in RNAcentral is "partial internal transcribed spacer region". The stretch from base 1 to 46 matches the Rfam family "Eukaryotic small subunit ribosomal RNA", at positions 1786 to 1831 of the family's 1831-position model. Lineage: Eukaryota; Fungi. The record is from RNAcentral.